Molecule: unclassified non-coding RNA, 105 nt
Organism: Cercocebus atys (sooty mangabey)
Lineage: Eukaryota; Metazoa; Chordata; Mammalia; Primates; Cercopithecidae
Rfam family: Y RNA
About the family: Y RNAs are components of the Ro ribonucleoprotein particle (Ro RNP), in association with Ro60 and La proteins. The Y RNAs and Ro60 and La proteins are well conserved, but the function of the Ro RNP is not known.
Source: Ensembl
GGCUGGUCUGAAGUUAGUGAGUUAUCUCAAUUGUUCACAGUCAGUUACAGGUCAAACUUCCUUGUUCUACUCUUUCUUCCUUCUCACUACUGCACCUGGUCUUAA